CCUACGGGGGGCAGCAGUGGGGAAUUUUGGACAAUGGGCGCAAGCCUGAUCCAGCAAUGCCGCGUGAGUGAAGAAGGCCUUCGGGUUGUAAAGCUCUUUUGUGGAACGUACGGUACCUGAAGAAUAAGCACCGGCUAACUACGUGCCAGCAGCCGCGGUAAUACGUAGGGUGCAAGCGUUAAUCGGAAUUACUGGGCGUAAAGCGUGCGCAGGCGGUUUUGUAAGUCUGACGUGAAAUCCCCGGGCUCAACCUGGGAAUUGCGUUGGAGACUGCAAGGCUAGAAUCUGGCAGAGGGGGGUAGAAUUCCACGUGUAGCAGUGAAAUGCGUAGAGAUGUGGAGGAACACCGAUGGCGAAGGCAGCCCCCUGGGUCAGUUGACGCUCAUGCACGAAAGCGUGGGGAGCAAACAGGAUUAGAUACCCUGGUAGUC
RNAcentral lists this ribosomal RNA (431 nucleotides) under uncultured bacterium. Its description in RNAcentral is "partial 16S ribosomal RNA". It matches the Rfam family "Bacterial small subunit ribosomal RNA", at positions 338 to 795 of the family's 1533-position model. The record is from RNAcentral.